GCCAGGUGUGGUGGCGGGUGCCUGUAAUCCCAGCUACUCGGGAGGCUGAGGUGGGAGGAUAGCUAGAGCCCAGGAGUUCUGGGCUGCAGUGGGCUAUGCCAAUCGGGUGUCUGCACUAAGUUCAGCAUCAAUAUGGUGACCUCCUGGGAGCAGGGGACUACCAGGUUGCCUAAGGAGGAGUGAACCAGCCCAUGUCGGAAAUGGAGCAGGUCAAAACUCUUGUGCUGAUCACUAGUGGGACUGCGCCUGUGAAUAGCCACUGCACUCCAGUCUGGACAACAUAGCGAGAUCCCAUCUCU
RNAcentral lists this signal recognition particle RNA (299 nucleotides) under Cebus imitator (Panamanian white-faced capuchin). RNAcentral describes it as "Metazoan signal recognition particle RNA (ENSCCAG00000002674.1)". It matches the Rfam family "Metazoan signal recognition particle RNA". From Rfam's summary of the family: The signal recognition particle (SRP) is a universally conserved ribonucleoprotein. It is involved in the co-translational targeting of proteins to membranes. The eukaryotic SRP consists of a 300-nucleotide 7S RNA and six proteins: SRPs 72, 68, 54, 19, 14, and 9. Lineage: Eukaryota; Metazoa; Chordata; Mammalia; Primates; Cebidae. The record is from RNAcentral.